UGCCUAUUUAGUGUACAGAUAAGAGUUCUGUUAGUUACGGAAAAACCUUCUAAAGCUUUCCUUAAAUUACUCUUUGGUCUUUGCUGUUUAAAAAUUUACUUCUAGUCCCUAUACCAUCAUUAGUGAAAAAUACAAGAUUUUGAGGGAUUGAAGUGUUCUAUAAGAUAAUAAUUCAUGGACUAAAUUGCACCUAAAUUUUAAAUUUUGGGAACUAA
RNAcentral lists this unclassified non-coding RNA (215 nucleotides) under Hevea brasiliensis (rubber tree). The record is from RNAcentral. Lineage: Eukaryota; Viridiplantae; Streptophyta; Magnoliopsida; Malpighiales; Euphorbiaceae.